AGUCAAUAGAUACCCUGGUAGUCCUAGCCGUAAACGAUACUCGCUAGGUGUCGGCCACGGUGCGACCGUUGUCGGUGCCGUAGGGAAAGCCGUGAAGCGAGCCACCUGGGAAGUACGGCCGCAAGGCUGAAACUUAAAGGAAUUGGCGGGGGAGCACCACAACGGGUGGAGCUUGCGGUUUAAAUUGGAUUCAACGCCGGAAAUCUUACCGGGACCGACAGCAAUAUGAAGGCCAGGCUGAAGACUUUGCCGGAUUAGCUGAGAGGUGGUGCAUGGCCGUCGUCAGUUCGUACUGUGAAGCAUCCUGUUAAGUCAGGCAACGAGCGAGACCCACGCCCACAGUUGCCAGCGUACUCUCUGGAGUGACGGGUACACUGUGGGGACCGCCGCUGCUAAAGCGGAGGAAGGAAUGGGCAACGGUAGGUCAGUAUGCCCCGAAUAUCCCGGGCUACACGCGAGCUACAAUGGUUGGUACAAUGGGUAUCUACCCCGAAAGGGGACGGGAAUCUCCUAAAACCAAUCUUAGUUCGGAUUGAGGGCUGCAACUCGCCCUC
Molecule: ribosomal RNA, 554 nt
Filed under: uncultured bacterium
Lineage: Bacteria
Description: bacterial SSU rRNA
Rfam family: Archaeal small subunit ribosomal RNA
Source: RNAcentral